Long non-coding RNA from Cyprinus carpio carpio, 487 nucleotides. The record is from Ensembl. Lineage: Eukaryota; Metazoa; Chordata; Actinopteri; Cypriniformes; Cyprinidae.
GUUCAAAUGUGGAGUUUUGCGCAUCGUGUGUGUGUGUGUGAGAGAGAGAGAGACAGGGUCACACAGUGGAGUCAGCUGUCUUAACCAUUGGUGGCUUGUGUACUGCACACAUCGGAGCUUCAUCACUGUGUCUGUCACGUGACUCUGUUCCCCUUUCGGGCUUGAACUGAUGGUAACAAACCAAAGGAAGGGUACAGCAGCUUUGCUGUGCCAGCCGUGGUAAAUACAGGAACAUCCUUCAUGAAGAUGUGUGAGAGAAGCUUGCAAGGCAAGAUGUGGGAAAAAAAUUAAAGCUCAGUGUCAGUGAAGAUGGUGUGAUCAGGAAAUCUGGUGUUUGUAGGAAAACUGAAGGAACAUCUCCCAGUAUUCUACUACAAUGUUGCCCUGAUGUCUGAGAGACUGUGGAGAGAUGGUGUGCAGCUCCAUGACAUUUGAAGUUUACUGCCAAUGGAGAGCUUCUUGGACAUUGACAGGCAGCACUUCCCAG